Molecule: unclassified non-coding RNA, 345 nt
Filed under: soil metagenome
Description: partial contains 5.8S ribosomal RNA, internal transcribed spacer 2, and large subunit ribosomal RNA
Rfam family: 5.8S ribosomal RNA (bases 1-120)
Source: RNAcentral
GAUGAAGAACGCAGCGAAAUGCGAUACGUAAUGUGAAUUGCAGAAUUCAGUGAAUCAUCGAGUCUUUGAACGCACAUUGCGCCCCCUGGUAUUCCGGGGGGCAUGCCUGUCCGAGCGUCAUUGCUGCCCUCUAGCACGGCUUGUGUGUUGGGCCUCCGUCCUCCUCCCGGGGGACGGGCCCGAAAGGCAGCGGCGGCACCGCGUCCGGUCCUCGAGCGUAUGGGGCUUCGUCACCCGCUCUUGUAGGCCCGGCCGGCGCUUGCCGACACAUCAAUCUUUUUUCCAGGUUGACCUCGGAUCAGGUAGGGAUACCCGCUGAACUUAAGCAUAUCAAUAAGCGGAGGA